This 460-nucleotide ribosomal RNA is filed under the name uncultured archaeon. RNAcentral's name for it is "bacterial SSU rRNA". It matches the Rfam family "Archaeal small subunit ribosomal RNA", at positions 19 to 458 of the family's 1478-position model. The record is from RNAcentral.
GGACCCCACUGCUAUCGAGAUGGCACUAAGGUAUGCUAGUCGAACGAACUGAACUAUGUCAGUUAGUGGCACACUGCUCAGUAACACGUAGCUAACCUACCCUUAGGACGUGGAUACCCCCGAGAAAUUGGGGUUAAUCCGCGAUAGGUGUAAUGUCCUGGAAUGGUAUUACGCCUAAAGGUAAUUCAUACAUGUUUGAAUUAUGCCUAAGGAUGGGGCUGCGGCCGAUCAGGCAGUUGGUGAGGUAAUGGCUCACCAAACCUUUGACCGGUACGGGCCAUGAGAGUGGUAGCCCGGAGAUGGACACUGAGACAAGGGUCCAGGCCCUAAGGGGCGCAGCAACCGCGAAACCUCCACAAUGCACUCACGUGCGAUGGGGCUAUCUCGAGUGCCACCUGAUGAAGGUGGCUUUUCCUUGGUCUUCAAAGCCAUGGGAAUAAGAGGGGGGCAAGACUGGUGU